RNAcentral lists this long non-coding RNA (28123 nucleotides) under Solanum tuberosum (potato). RNAcentral's name for it is "long non-coding RNA (STUB_LNC002688)". The stretch from base 5454 to 5678 matches the Rfam family "MIR8007 microRNA precursor family". Lineage: Eukaryota; Viridiplantae; Streptophyta; Magnoliopsida; Solanales; Solanaceae. The record is from RNAcentral.
UUAAGUUAUUUUGGAAGCUCCUUUUUGCUGGUUCUUCAAGCCCUCUCCUCUACAAAAUCCCUAGUUGAGAAAUCAACCAAGAAUUAAGUUGGUGCUUCAACCAAGUCAAGAAUAUAUACAAGUCUCUCUUUGGAUAAAAGGGACAACUUUUAUCCUUGCUUAAUAUGAGCUUAAGAGACUGUAUUUUCGUCAAUUCAGGUAUGGCCAUGUUCCCCUCUCUCAUGUAUGUGAUGUAAGACUCACGGGACGACGAUAGGAAGUCGUGAGUCCAAGUUUCACCUAUGUUAAUUGAUAUUUUUAGUGAGGAGGGAGUGUGUGGAGUGGUUUGGUAACUGCUUGUUAAUGUGUUGGAGUCAUUUAAAUGUAGUGUAUUGUUGUUAGUAAUAUGAGGGGUUGAAUACUAUAAACACCGAUCGAUUAGAAUGUCUCUUGAGUUUACACCUACCAUGUGUCUGUUGAAUUGACGACCUGACUUGGAUAUGUUGUGUAACUGCCUAAAGUUGAAUUUUCAUUUGUUGUUGUUUUAUACUAAAGGGAGCAUGGGAUAAUUCAGCCGUUGUAGUACAUUACAAGAUUUAAAUCAAGGUAUGUAAAGGUGACCCUUUCCGCCAUUUUCAAGAGCGAAUUUACGUCGUUAACAGAACUAGUACUCUAAUAUUUUUAACUAAUAUUGAGGUAUGGUAUUGUUCUGUUAGAAGGUUGUGAAGACAUGGUGAAAUCUAUAGUUGUCUGAAUGUUUAAGAUAAAUGUAUGUGACGCGAAUGACAAUAUAUAUAGUUGUUGUCGUAGUUGUAAACUGAGUUUGGAGACCCCUUAUCGUGGGCACUGUGAGCUGGUCCUAUAUGUAUUUUUAUUAAGAAGUAGUUAUGUAUAUGAGUUCCAUGUUUCCAUGUGAGUAAGGCCAAAUAAUUUAGAACUAUUUGUGCUUGUCGACACGAUAAGUUACUAAUGAGAGUCCAAUUGUAUAAUUAUCGGUACGGGUAAAAGAAGCACCUUAGAAGUAAAUGAAGCACCUUAUGGGUAGAAUAUGUGUAUAUAUGCAUAUCCUAAAUGUUAGUGGAUUAAAUAGAAAUAGAAAUAUAUGUGCUCUUGUUCAAGCUAUAUGCUAAGGCGACAUAAUAUAUUUAGGUACCUCAUUCAUAAGGCUACUAGAUUCCUUAUGACAUCUAAACCUUCUUAUGGUUGUUUAAGUAUUAAGUAGGUGUACUUAUAUUCUAUUUGAAAGCUUUAUAUGUUACAUGUACAUAGUUGCAAUUCACGAGUCUUGAAGAGUCCUAUUGAGGCCACAGUCCUAGAGGCAGCUUGCAUAUGUGAUAUAUUUAUGUAAUACCCCGGAAACUAGUAAGUGAAACUAGAGAGUUCUAGAGCCCUGUGUUAGGGUUUUAGAGUUUGAUAUGAGGGUUAAAAUCAUAACAAUGACUUUCCAUAUUUAGAAUGAAUGUUUUAGGUUUAAGGCGUCAAGGUACGAUCCCCCAAGGACCAACCAAAGGGUCCUUGAGGAGGACCCUAAAAACAGCCCCAAAAGCUGUCAAAACCACGGGCAUCUAUGGCUAGUAGUUGUUUUAAGUUGGGACUUAGGGGUUAAUUCAUUAUUAGUUAAUGGUUAAGUAGGGUCGGUUUAUUAGUAAUUAGACCCCAUAUAUAAACCUAAUAGACCCCUAAUUAAGUCAUUCUAAAUCAUUCUCUCAACUCACCAAAAAGAAACCAAAAAUUCUCUCUCUAGAAGUGAAGAAGAAGAAGAGAAGGAAGCUAGGGCAGAAUUCUUCCAUUGAUGCAAGCUUGGUGAGGCUUUGAAUCAAGGUAUGUUAGCUUAUUCAUCUAUGGACUCUUCCAUCCAUAGAACCCCCUAGAUUUCCCCCAAUUGUGAAGACAAAACCCAAUUCUAGCUAGGGUUUCUUCCUACAUUGUGGGUAGUGUUGAAGUAUGAUUCCAAUUGAGUGGAUAAUACAUAAUUAUGAUUGAUUUAGCAUUGAAUUAUGAUAUUAUGAUGAAUUUAUGUGAUUUCCAUGGUUAACCCUAGUCUAAUUGAUAGAAUUGAUAUUAUGUGGGUUUAUGUCAUGAGAGGUGAACUUGAGGAUUAAUAGGUGAUAGGUGAGGAUUCUAAAAUUAAUGUCAUGUGUAGUAAUUUUUCAAGAUUAGGAACAUAUAGACAUGAAUUGAACUAGAUUUUAGUAUAUAUGAUGGAUCAUGACUAGUAAAGUUGAAAUUGAACCUUUAUGAUGAAUUGUGACUAUAAUCACUUAAUAAUGAAGAAUGUGAUUAGAACAUUUUGAAAUCUAGAUAUGUAUGAUAAUUGUAAGAAGUAAAGCUUUGAGGGUAAGGCUUGUAUUCAUGAAUGUUGAUCACUAGGGUUUUGAGAGUAAAUCAAGAUGAUGAACUAGGCAUGUUAAGGCUUUGAGAGUAAAGUCUAUAUGAGAAUAGAAGCUUAAUGGAUAGAAUUAUGGUGGAAGACCUUUACCUACCUAAUCUACCUCAUGAAUGCUUGAAUGUAUGAAGUGAUAGAAUCACUUGAGUUAUGAUGAUAUCCAUGUCUAAUGUAGAAUUCUAGAUAUGGUAUUAUGCAUGAAUAUGAUAUGACAUGAAAGGUUCUCUCACAUAGAAUGAUUCUAGGUUGAAAUUCUAUUCUCACCUAAAAUGAAUCUAAGUCCUAGGACUAUGAAAUGUGAUGAGGCUUGUGGUGAUUACCCUAAAAGACCUUUACAUGAUAGGAAUGUGAGGUGAGUUCCCUUGCUCCUAAUUAGUUAAAUAUGAGGUGAUUACCCUUUAUGUAUGUAUGACUCCCAAGGCAAGCGGUGAUUACCCAUUAGCCUUUAUGUUGAUCAUAGAGUCGAUUACCUAUGAUCCUUAUGUGAUGAUGUGGAGGCGAAUACCUACAUUACACAUUAAUAAUGAACAUGGAGGCGAAUACCUAUGAUUCAUUAGUAUGUAUGACUAGAGGUGAUUAUCCUUGUCUUUAUGAUUCCAUGAUAUGUAUGACUAGUGGUGAUUUGCCUUGUUAUGAUUCCAUGAUAUAUAUGGCUUGAGGUGAUUCCACUUGCCCUUCAUGAUGAACUGAACAUGUAUGCCUUGAGGUGAUUCCCCUUGCAUUUAUGAAUAUGAGCAUAACUCGUUUGGAUUAUAGCUUGGUAGGCCCCUCCAAUACAUGCAUGACUAGAGGUGAUUCCCCUUGUCUUUAUGAUGUUAAGAGAUGAUAAACAUGAAUGAUGAACCUAAAGUGUCUAGCUUAGCAUGGGUAGAAUUAUAGGGUCUUGUUCAUGCAUGGCACAAACUUGCCUUGAGGUGACUCAUGAAGUGUUUCUCUUAUAUGAUAUAUGCUUAGAUAGGAUUGUGCUAUAGUUGCCUUCCUUGUUAUGUUAUGAUUGACUAAAGGUGAGAUAUUCCCUUGGUUAUGAGAAUAAGCUAAAUAUGAGAUCCUAAUGAAUGGUAAAUAUGAAUAUAGUGACUUCAAGGUUAUGCUUAGUGUGAAUGGUAUUAUGGGAUGUCAUUCAUGCAUUGCACAAGUAUGCUUUGAGGUUAUUUGAGAGUGGUCUUAUUAUGAUAUGAAUGACUAGGAAUGGAAUAAUGCUUAUAUGAUCCUUAUGUUAGAGACUUUGCUUAUGACUGUAAUAAUGUCUCUUAUGCUUAUAGUUUAUGUGUCAUAAAGUAUUUCAUAUGAUUGUGGAUUAUGUCUUACAUUGACUAACCCUUAUAUUAUGCUCUUAUGAUGUUAUGCUAGCUAACAUAUUUAGUACAUUUUGUACUAACACAUACUUUGCCUACAUUCUAAUCAAAUGUAGGGUUCGGAGAUUUGAGUUCCAAUCUUGAGGAUAGGUUUCUAAAGAGCAAAUGAGUUGAAGAUUUGGUGAGUCCUCAUAGCUUCGAGGACAAAACCCACUAUUUCCUUUAUGUCUUUUACUUUCAUGUUAUGAGACUAUUGUGUGGGCUGUGUCCUAAAGGUUUUAAUUCAAAGUUGAGUUUAGAUGGUUUGAGACAAAAGUGUAGCAAGACUUUCGCUUGCUUUUGAAAAGACUUCGAUUGUAUGGAUAAAAGUUUUUAAAAUUUCCGUACUUUUCUAUUAUCUUAUGUUAUGAUAUGCUAAGUUCUUGUAUGAGACCCCUCGGGGUCAAGUAUGUCAUGUUACAUCUAGGGUGUACACCUGGGUCAUGAAAAUUUAUUUGAAAUACUUGAUAUGUAUCUAGCCAGCGCAGUAGAUGAUAGUGAUUAUGACUUUAUGUUACACUACCAAUGGGGUAAUGUCGAUAGACAGAUAUAGUAAUAGCUACAACUAUAGUUCACCAGACCACCACAACAGGCAUGUCAGGUGGGCAGGUAACCCCGUGACCACACCACAACAACAGGCAUGUCUGGUGGGCAGAUAACCCAGGCAUUACACCACCACAAUAGGCAUGUCGGUGGGUAGAUAACUCUGUGACCACACCAUCACGGUAGGCAUGUAGAGUGGACAGAUAACCCAUGCAUUACACCAUCACGACAGGCAUGCUCGGUGGACAUAUGCUUACUCAGUCAUCACAUCACCGAGAUGAACAUCUCAGCUGGGCAGGGUCACUACUAUGACAUGAUUAUCAUAGAGUUCACCAUUAAAGAAAUACGAUUUGUAUAUGUGCUUACUUAGUUGCAUUCACGGAUCAAUGUUACGUCAUUAUCAGAUCUCAGCUUAUGGAGUCUCGGGUUGUUUCUAUCCCUAACUCUAGUUCACUAUUUUUUAUAUACUUAUGUUUACAACUUUCAACCUUACAUACCAGUACAUGUUAUUCAUACUGACGUCCCUCCGCUUGGGGACGCUAUAUUCGUGUUGCAGGUGUAAGUAGAGGCUCUAAUUGUCAGUUGUAAUAGGUAUCCGACUUCAACUUAGAAUUGAUAUUCUCCUUCCAUUCAGGAGCCAUGUUCUACUUUGGCAGUAUUGUGUUAUUUUCCAUUUGGUAUGGGUAGGUUGGGGACCUGUCUUGUGUGCUAAGUUUGUUAGUCUUUAUAGGAUUUUGUGGACGAGUAUGUACAAUUUAGUUUAGUUUGGUUUUUAUGGUCUUGUCGGCUUUUCGUUGCUUAGUUUAGUUGUAUUAUGGCCUAGUUGACCUUAUGUUGUUAAAGUUUAAUUUAGUUAUGACCUCGUUUGUUUAGAUGGAUAUGAUAGUUGGCCUGGAUGGCCUUAGCAGUAUAGUUAAUUUCAGCUAUUAUAUAGUUGACUUCUUGAUUAAGUCUAUAUUGAGGCCAGACGUGCCCUACCCCAAUUUUGGGGGCGUGAAAAACUUGGUAUCAGAGCGAGGUCAGCUCCUAGGGAGACCACAAAGCCAUGUCUAAUAGAGUCUUCCUUAUUGGUAUGUUGUGCACAAUACAUAUAAUCAUGAGGCUACUGGAUAUUUAGAGGUUGUUUCAUAUCUUUCAUUGACAAUUCAUUCUAUAUAGCAAAAUCAUUAGGUUAUAUGAUAUCCAAAUUGCUACUCCCCCCGUCCCAUUUUAUGUGGCACUUUUUGGAUUUCUAGAUUCAAACAAGUCUAUCUUUGACCGUGAAUUUUUCAUAGAUUUUUUAAACAUUUUGAAUUACCAAUUAUUGUGACUUAUAGUACUUUUUACGUAGUUUACAAAUAUAUAAAUUUCAUUUCAAAAAAAUUGAAGAUCCCAUGCGUAAAUUUUCGGUCAAACUUAAACUAUUUGACUCUUGAAAAACAAAAAGUGCCACAUAAGUUGAGACAUAUGGAGUAUUAUUUAUGAAUAUGUCAAUGACGAGGUAGAUGGCUAUACAAUUGAUUGGUAUGACUAAGCGAGAGGGUAAUAUCCGCCCUCGAGAAGAGUAGAGAGAUGGCUAAGAUGCUCAGAGUGAGUCUCCUUCUCAAGGCAUUGCAGCCCCUCCAGCUCCAGCUAGAGCUAAAUUAGACAAACAUCCAGCUUCACAAGCCUUAGUAAUACAAAAGGGUGACAGAGUGACUGACCCUCUGGCACCUAUCGCACAUCUAGUAGCCCAAAUGGACAAGGAAUUGAGGGAGCUAUUCAGUUGAUGGCUUGUAUAUCUGUAACACCCCAAAAAUUAGCAGGCAAGACUAGAGCUAAACAUUAAGGUUAGAGUCAAGGAAGGAGGGCAAGAGACAAGGCUUCCCAAACCUUGCCAAGGCACUGCCCCAAGACCACGUAGGGCCUUCACGACCAGUGGUGGUCACCACGAGUCGUGGAGCCACUCGUGGAGGUGGAGGCGGUAGCCUCCUUAAGGCUGCCUCAAGUUGGCUCCUCCACACGAGCCAUUUCACGGCUCGUGAAGCCUUAGACGACUCGUGGGAGUGGCCUUGAACAUGCCUUAGUGGUUGAGGGUUGAUGGAGGGUGGCUUAGCCACUGCCUCAAGGCCCACGAGAGGGACCAUGACUCGUGGCUUGCACAACGGCUCGUGGAGCCCCUCGUGAAGAUGUCUUGGGCUUGUGAGCUAAAGGUACUUGUUGCCUAGCCACUGCCUCAAGUCCAUGAAGGGGACCACGACUUGUGGUCAUGACCAUGGCUCGUGGGGAUCCACGUGGUCCCUGGCAACUCACUUAAAGUGAGGGGUAUUUUGGGUUAUUUCGGUUUGAGUCUUAUUAAAGUAAAGUCAUUUUGCCUUAGUUUUAUACACCUAUAUAAGUCAUUUUAAGUGAAAAUACACCAAUUCACCCCAUUAUUUCCAAAAACCCCAAAUCAAAUCCCAAAAGUUCAUCUUCUUUCAAAAUUUCUCUCUCUAGAACUCCAAGGAAGAAGAAGAAGAAAGUUGAAGCUAGAAUUUGAAGGAGCAAGGUUUUCCACUUGAUUUCUUUCGAGAUUCAUAGCUAAGGUAUGGUAGUCCUUCAUCCAUGGAUAUCUUUCAUCCAUGGAGUCCCUUCAAACUCCAAAUUUCUAAGUUAGAAAUCCCUAAAAGCUAGGGUUUUACUCCAAAUUCAUGGGUUCCUUUCUAAAACGAUUUUUAUGUUUUAAUUAUGAUAUAUUAUGAAUGAAUUGAUGAGUAUUGAUGUUUUUAUGAUGAAUUCCCCAAGAACCCAUGAAACCCCCAUAGUUCCCAAUUAUGAUUUUGUGAUGUGGGUUUGUUGAUGAAAGAAGAGUAUUAGUAGAUUGUGUAUGAAAUGAAUUGAUUUCUUGAAUUAUGAUUAUAUACAUGUCUAAUGUAGUGAAUUCUAGAUAUAUUGAUAGAAUGUGAUCCUUGAUCCUUAAAGGGUAAAGUAUUAGAAUUAUGCAUGAUUAUGAGAUUUAUGUAUAUGCUUCAUGAACACUUUGAGAGUAAAGUGAUUAUGAUUAUGAUCUAGUUGUUGUGUUGUUGAGAGACUAUCCUCAUAUACAUACCUAUGUAUGAAGAUGAUAUGAUGUGAAAGGUUUUCUCACAAUAUGAUGAUUCCAAGGUUGAAAGGUUAUUCUUACCUAUUGAAUUUAUGAGCUAUCUUAUGAAUUAUGUUGGAUUGAGUGUCAAGGCAUUCUUCCAUGAAUAUGAACUUAAGUUAACAUUUAAUAGGUACUCUGUGGGAUAAAUGCUUAGCACUGAGUUAAUAUUUAAUAUGAGAUCGAAGCUCUUCCGUUAGAAAUGUCGAGUUUCUAGAAAGAAUCUCUUGAGAUGGAAGCUCCCCCGUUAAAAAGGGCGGAUUUCUAGUAGGAAUCUCCUUAUCCCAUAAACUAUGUGCCCCAUAGGUUAUUUAGCUAGUGGAUCCACAUAAGCUAAGAGUAUGGUUCUACCUUACGCAAGUAGGAAAACCCUUUUUGGUGUGGGUAACACAUGGAUUCUAUGAUAAGCUCACAUGGUCUAUGUCGGUUAAGGCUUAUUCCCACUAUGAACAAGAAUAUGAAUUAUGAACUAUGGUUACUCAAGAAGCUUUACUUAGUCAUGGGUGGGAUUAUGGGAUCUUAUUCAUGCACUGCACGAGUAUGCUUUGAGGGUAUUUAUGGUAUGUUUCUAUUAUGAUAUUAUGAUUUAUGUAGUGAAUAUUCUUAUGACUUAUGCUUUUCCAUUACCUUCAAAAUGAUUCUUUAACUUAGUAAAUUGAAUGCAUUCAACUAAAAUGUCCCUUUUGCACGUUUUCAAGGUUUUAAUGCAUUGCUAUCAUACUUAGUGCAUUUUCGUACUAACCCAUAUUUCUCCUACAUUUUCCCCAAGUGUAGGGUCCGGUUCUCAGGUGGUCCUCAUUGUGGCUAGAGCUUGGAAUUGAUCAUUUCUCCAUGCUUGUUGGUGAGUCCUCAUAAUUGGAGGACGGAUGUUAUCUUAGUAGUUUCAUUUAUGCAUUUUUGUUUUGGAUUAUGUAGUAUGGGUUGUGUCCCUAUUUUUUAUAUAAUUUUUGUAAUAGAUGGCUAUUUGAGACAAGUCUAGACUUCCGCUUUCCUUUAUGAAAAUUAUGGACUUGAAAUGCAUUGUUUUUACUCUUAUUGUUCUAAUGCUUUACGUUAUGAUAUGCUGAGUGGCUUAAAUAAUGCCUUUUGGGGUUCUAUGUGCCAUGUUACGUCUAGGGGGUGCCUUGGGUCGUGACAAACUUGGUAAUUAGAGCACAAGGUUUAGAAUGAUUCUAGGAUGAUAUCUCAUAAGUCACGUCUAGUAGAGUCUUGUUCAUGAGUGUGAAGUGUGCCACACUUAUGAAUGAGUGGCUAUAAGAUGUUUAGGAAACCUCAUUUCUUUCAUUACUCUUGAGUCGUGCCUUAGAGUUUAACUCUAUAAAGUCCCUCUUCUAAUCUUUCUCUUGUGUCUUCAGGAUAUGAAUACACGAAGGGAUAACGCUAGAAGGGUGGAAGAUGAGAAUGUGAAUCAAGGAGCUCUUCCUUAAGCUAAUCAAGCUCUGGUUGACCCUUUGGUUGAGAAUGUGACCCAUGUGGAGUUUAGGUCAACUUUCCAAAUUUUGGCUCGAGCCGUAACGGCUCAAAGAGAGGUUGUAGCUUCGGUAAAUCCUAAUGUGAAUUUGGCCGCUUCAAGGGUUAGGGAUUUUGCUAGAAGGAAUCCUCCCGAAUUUCAUGGCUCCAAAGUGGAAGAGGACCCUCGUGGAAGAGGUUUAUAAAGUAAUUGAUAUUAUGGGGGUAACUUCGGUAUAGAAAGAGGAGUUGGUCGAUUAACAAUUGAAAGGUGUUGCUCAAGUGUGAUAUAUUCAAUGGAAGAGGAAUAGGCCGGUAGGAGCGGGUCCCAUAGAUUGGGAGGGGUUUAAAUCUGCAUUUCUUGAUAGAUUCUUUCCCCGAGAGUUGAGGGAAGCUAAGGUGGAAGAGUUCAUUAACCUUUGUCAAUGAAGUAUGAGUGUGAAAGAGUAUGCCAUAAAGUUCACCCAAUUGUCCAAGUAUGCUCCGACUAUGGUGGCAUAUUUGAGGGAUGAGAUGAGUAGGUUUUUUACGGACUCGGUUGAAGAAGAAUAUGGUAUGAUAAUGCUCCAUCAUGACAUGGAUAUCUCAAGGCUUAUGGUGUAAGCUCAACAAAUUAAGGAUUCAAAACUCAAGAAAAAGAAUAGGGAGCUGAAAAGAGCUAGGACUGGUGAUGGGAACUUCUCCAAUGCUAGGUUCGAUGGACAAGGUCGACAAAGAUUCAAACAAGGGUUUUCCAACCAAGGCUCCUCUAGUGCUCCAAGGGGCAACAAAGAUAUGGUUUCCAACCCUAAACCACAUGGAGGUAAUAGUGGUGGUUCUUAUAUGAAUAAGCCUAAUUGUGCAAAAUGUGGGAAGAAACAUGAUGGGAAGUGCCUAGCCGGCAUAGGUGUUUGUUUUAGUUGUGGUAAGAGUGGUCAUCAACUGAGGAAUUUCCCAACACUUUUGGCCAAGGGGAAAGAAGACAAGAAAUAUCCUUUUAGCGGUUCAAACUCCAAUGCUCCAAAGCAAAACCAUUUUUAUGCUCUUCAAUCCUGAAAUAACCAAGAGAGCUCCCCAGAUGUUAUGACCGGUAUGUCAAAAGUAUUUAAUAUUGAUGUAUAUGCCUUUUUAGAUAUCGGUGAUACUUUGUCCUUUGUGACACCGUAUGUGGCCAAUAAGUUUGAUAUGCUCCCCGAAGUGUUAUUAGACCCUUUUUCGAUUUCUACCCCGAUUGGUGAUUCGGUGGUGGCUAAGAGGGUGUAUAAAAUUUGUCCUAUUUCCUUGUCCCAUAGAGUUACCUUGGUGGAUUUGGUAGAAUUAGACAUGUUAGACUUUGAUGUGAUUUUGGGUAUGGAUUGGUUGCAUGCAUGUUAUGCCUCUAUCGAUUAUAGGACUCGGGUGGUUAGGUUUCAAUUUCCAAAUGAGCCUAUCUUAGAGUGGAAGGGGGGAAAUUCUAUACCUAGAGGUCAAUUUGUCUCUUGCCUUAAAGCGAGGAAGAUGAUCUCAAAAGGGCGUAUUUAUCAUCUUGUUAGGGUGAGGGAUGUUAAUUCUAAAACCCCUUCUCUAGAGUCAGUUCCGGUAGUGAAUGAGUUCCCAAAAAUUUUCCUUGAUGAUUUGCCCGGUAUUCCUCCCGAGUAGGAAAUAGAUUAUGGUAUUGACCUUUUACCGGAUACGCAACCUAUCUCCAUUCCUCCUUAUAUAAUAGCUCUGGCCGAGUUGAAAGAGUUGAAAGAGAAACUAAAGGAUUUACUCCCUCCGUUUAAAAAAGAAUGACCUCCUUUCCUUUUUAGUUUGUUUAAAAAAGAAUGACCUCUUUCCUUUUUUAGUAACAUUUUACUUUCAACUUUCCACGUGGCAUGUUUAAGACCAUAAGAUUAAAGGACAAUUUUGUACAUUUGACAUAACUUUAAUUUAGGGCCACAAGAUUCAAAAGUCUUCUUUAUUUUCUUAAACUCCGUGUCAAGUCAAACUAGGCCACUCUUUGUGAAACGGAGGGAGUAUUAGAUAAGGGAUUCAUCCGACCAAGUAUCUUUCAUCGGGGUGCUCCAGUGUUGUUUGUUAGAAAAAAGGAUGGGUAUCUUAGAAUGUGCAUCGAUUAUCGUCAAUUGAACAAAGUGACCAUUAUGAAUAAAUAUCCCCUUCUGAGAAUCGAUGACUUGUUUGAUCAACUUCAUGGGGCUAGUUACUUUUCAAAAUUUGACCUUCGUUCGAAGUAUCACCAAUUGAGGGUGAGAGGGGAUGAUAUACCCAAGACAGAUUUCCAAACUAGGUAUGGGUAUUAUGAAUUCCUUGUGAUGUCAUUUGGCUUAACUAAUGCCCAGCGGCAUUUAUGGACCUAAUGAAUAGAGUGUUUAGGCAAUACCAAGACAUGUUUGUGAUUGUGUUUAUCGAUGAUAUUUUGAUCUAUUCAAGGAGUGAGAAUGAACACGUGGACCAUAUGAGUAUUGUCUGCAAGUCUUAAAGACCACCAACUUUUUGCAAAGUUUAGCAAGUGUGAAUUUUGGCUAAGAUCCGUAGCUUUCCUUAGUCAUAUUGUGUCAAGCAAGGGUAUUGAGGUGGAUCCUAAGAAGACGGAUGCUGUCAAGAGUUGGCCUAGACCUCUAACUCCUUCAGAUAUUAGAAGCUUUUUGGGUUUGGUCGGUUACUAUAGAAGGUUUGUUGAGGGAUUUUCUUCCAUUGCUUCUCCUUUGACGGCUUUGACUCAAAAGAAAGCUAAGUUUGUGUGGUCGGAAGAGUUGAAGGAUAGAAUUACUUCCGCCCCGGUAUUGACUUUAUCGAAAGGUAUGGAUGGUUUUGUGGUAUAUUGUGAUGCCUCUAGAGUUGGGUUGGGAUGUGUGCUUAUGCAAAAUGGUAAGGUGAUUGACUAUGCUUCAAGGCAACUUAAAGUCCAUGAGAAGAAUUAUCCUACCCAUGACAUUGAAUUAGCGGCGGUUGUGUUUGCCUUGAAAAUAUGGAGGCAUUAUUUGUAUGGGGUCCAUGUGGAUGUUUCACCGAUCACAAAAGUCUUCAAUAUGUGUUUAGUCAAAAGGACUUGAAUCUUCGUCAACAAAGGUGGUUAGAAUUGCUGAAGGAUUAUGAUAUGAGUGUUCCUUUAUCACCCCGACAAAACUAAUGUGGUAUAGGACACACUUAGUAGGUUGUCCAUGGGUAGUGUGGCUCAUGUAGAGGAUGACAAGAAAGAGUUGGUUCAUGAGGUGCAUAGGUUGGCCCAACUAGGUGUCCAACUAGUGGGUUCCACCAAGGGUGGUGUCAUUGUCCAUAAUGGUUCCGAAUCGUCCUUUUUGAUGGAUGUGAAGUCUAAACAAGGCCUUGAUCCUAUGUUAGUUGAGUUGAAAUAGUCUGUAGCGGCUUUCUCCCAAUGGGGAGAUGGAGUGCUAAGGUACCAAGGUCGGUUAUGUGUUCUGGAUGUUGAUGGUUUGAGAGAUCAAAUUUUAGAAAAAUCUCAUAGUUCUCGGUAUUCUAUUCAUCCGGGAUCCACCAAGAGAAAUCUCAUAGUUCUCGGUUUACAUCCCUACUUUAUUCAAAUAGGAAGAAACGUCGUGACGACUCAAAAAAUAAUCAAUUAAGUCGAUUUUAAAAGAAUUUUAAGAAUAAACGAAUUUUAAAGGAGUCGCCACCUAAUUUUAGGAAAACUAGGAAACCAAUUCAAUGAUCUACGAAACCAUUAGAUUCUAGGUAAGGGGUUCAAGUUAUUCCGAAUGGAAGAUGUUAGGCAUCUUUCAAAAUCCACAAAUGUGGGUCCCGACUGAAUUCACUUUUUCAAAUUGAGGAGGAAAUAAAAAUAAAUAUACAAGUAUAAUAACUAGUAAUAUACACAAAUAAUAAAAUAAAACAAUAAUAAAUAAAAGUUAUAAUUCGAACUCCGUUUCAAAUAGCUUAAAUGGAAAACAACUCUGUGUACCUAUAAAGACACUUAGUAAAAGUGUUAGUACUAAAUAAAUAUGAAUAAAAAUGAAUAACUCAAAUAAUAACUUAAAAAUAAAACCCGUCUUAUUAACAUGGAAGGCCUUGAAAAUCGACGGUAAUUUCUUCAUCGGUCAAAUUUAACAAACAAAAAAUAUAUAAACUUAAACUAAAAUUCCGUCUUUAAUAUUGGGAAGGCCUCAAAAAUCGACGGAGAGAUUUUCUCAUUGGCCAAUUUUAAUAGAAUUUCGACAUAAAAUAAAAUGAAACUAACUAUAUUACACUAUAAGAUAAAAUACAACCAUCCAAACUAUAAGAACCUAACAUAAUAAUAAUAAUAAUAAUAAUAAUAAUAAUAAUAAUAAUAAUAAUAAUAAUAAUAAUAAUAAUAAUAACAAUAACAACAGCAACAACCACCAAACUGUUAACAACAUAACAAAACAAUAAUAAUUAAAUAAUAUUAAUGUAGGAACGUAAUUUCUGUAACUUCUUAGAACAUGAAUCAACCAAUUUAAUAAACCCAUAACAAUCACAUAUGAAAAAAUUAGAAAGAUGCGGUAAAAAAAAAAGAACAAAUUCAAAGUCGUGAACAAAUGAAGAAAAAUAAAAUAAAAUAAGACAACCACAUAUGUGUAUAUCAACAACUCAACUUAUAUUUAAUUAAUAAAGUUAUCUAAACACUUGUAUAUAUCACUUCAUAAUAAAUAAAAUAAAGAGCUAUAAGCUAAUCACUUAAUAUAAUAAUAUGAUCCACAAAUAAACAAAUUAAUAAAGAAUAGAUAAACAGUAGCCAAAAACUAAACAAAAAUAAUGAAAACCUUGGUGGAAAACUCAAAGCAGUGAUUAUAACAAAGAUAAACUAAUAUCUAACUUAAUGAGUUAUUUGAAUUAAAAUGAUUACCUACACAUUGAUAAGGAAAAGAAGGGUGAAAUAUACACUGAAGCUCAGAUUUAUGGAGAUCUGAUAGCGAUGAAGGAUGGUGUGCGUUUCUCCGAUGCAGCAAGGUCAUAUUUUGUUCGUCGGAUCUUUAAAGCUCGUUGGGACAACAUCAUUCCACCUGCAAAACAAGAGAAAAAAAAUAAUCAUAAAAGAGGAAAGAGGAUGGGGACAGAGCACCAUUUUAUUGGCUUCGGUUCAUCAGAGUUUGAAACUCCUCGCCAGAGCUACUGUCCGUUCGCGGCACCGCUGGCGUGAGCUCGGAGCUCGUUGCUCCGAUGGUUCUAGAUGGGUUUGUUGUUGUUAUCGGAUAAAAAUGAAAAAGGGGUGUGGUUGAGUUGGGGUUUUGUGGGUUGGUUUGGAGGCUGUUUGGCAGUUGUUUUAGCUGGAGAAGGAGAAAGGGGAAAGGGGUCGUUUCCGGUGACUAUUUCACCAGAAAAAGAAGAAAACGAAGAGGGUUUUGGGGGCUGUUGGUGAUGAGCAGAAAGGGUGAGGGUUGUUGUUUCCGGUUGUUGUUGUUUGCCGGAUAAAAUGGGUUGUUGGGUGGCAGUUGUUUUUUUUUUGUGCCAAAAAGCAGGAGGAGAAACUUUUAGGGUUUUUCUAUUUUGGAAAGUUUUCAUCCCCUUUUCAAAAAUAAUUCACCACACCACUUAUUUUUUAACCUAACUAAAACUUAUAUAGGAAAUAAUUGUUAAAUGGGCUCAAUUGUGGGAUUGGGAUUGUGGCCCAAAAUUAUCGAUCAAGUAAAAUAUCUGUAUUUGAAUGAAUUUCUAGACUGUGCAAAAUAUCAAAAUAAAUAUUAACAAAUGUAACAAAUAAAAUGAAUAUAAAAAAAAAUGAACGUAACUAAUGACAUAUAAAAAUGCAGUUUAAAGAUUAAUUGAAAAAAGAAAAAUCCUAAAUUUUGAUAAAUAAGGAUAUUUAUCGAUAAAUUUAUUUAAAAUUAUAAAAAAAUUAUUUUGAACUAUUAAAUAAGUAAAACUUAAAAUUUGCGAAUUUUUGAAAAUGUUUGGCCAAAAUUGGGUGUCAACAGUUGUCCCUUUUGUUGGAUAUGAUUGAUGAAAGAAAUCUUAAACAACGAAAAUUGACAAAUCCAAUUUUGGCCGAACACAUGACCUUUAUAUAAAAGUACGGUUGGAAUGUGGUGGAAGUCGACCCUGAACUUGCCUCCAAAAGGUUUCACGCUGUGUUGCGUCCUUGUUGAAAUAGUCCGCACAUGUGGCUCAACUGAGAAUGCAUCCUCUUGGAUGUUCUCAAAAAAACAAAGAUGAAACUCAUCAGUAGAGACAAUUACAGGGAAAAAGGUAGCAUCUCUUACAAUACGACAAAUGAAGAUGAUCCAUUGGUAGGAUAAAAAUGCAUGUCCAAUGGUAGGACGAAUGAAGAUGAUGAUCCAUCGGUAGGUAUUUUGAAUGUAUGUCCAUCGGUAGGACGAAUGAAAAAAGAUGAUCCAUCGCUAGGAUUUUGAAUGUGUGUCUAUCGAUAGGACGAAUGAAAAAAAAAAAAUCCAUCGGUAGGAUUUUGAAUAUAUGUCCAUCGGUAGGACGAAUGAAUAAAGAUGAUCCAUCGCUAGGAUUUUGAAUGUGUGUCCAUCGAUAAACGAUGAAUGAAAAAAAAUGAUCCAUCAGUAGGAUUUUGAAUAUGUGUCCAUCGAUAGGAUUUUGAAUAUGUGGACUUGAACGUUGAAUAGAUAUGGUGCGCAUCCUUCACCUCCGAAUAGAUGCGACUUAAAUGCAAAUAUCUUUCAACGCAAGUUUCCUUCGACUUGAACGUUGAAUAGAUAUGGUGCGCAUCCUUCACCUCCGAAUAGAUGCGACUUAAAUGCAAAUAUCUUUCAACGCAAGUUUCCUUCGACUUGAACGUUGAAUAGAUAUGGUGCGCAUCCUUCACCUCCGAAUAGAUGCGACUUAAAUGCAAAUAUCUUUCAACGCAAGUUUCCUUCGACUUGAACGUUGAAUAGAUAUGGUGCGCAUCCUUCACCUCCGAAUAGAUGCGACUUAAAUGCAAAUAUCUUUCAAUGCAAGUCUCCUUCGACUUGAACGUGGAAUAGAUAAGGUGCGCAUCCUUCACCUCAAAAUAGAUGCGACUUAAAUGCAAAUAUCUUUUCAACGCAAGUUUCCACCAACUUGAACGUUGAAUAGAUAGGGUGCACAUCNNNNNNNNNNNNNNNNNNNNNNNNNNNNNNNNNNNNNNNNNNNNNNNNNNNNNNNNNNNNNNNNNNNNNNNNNNNNNNNNNNNNNNNNNNNNNNNNNNNNNNNNNNNNNNNNNNNNNNNNNNNNNNNNNNNNNNNNNNNNNNNNNNNNNNNNNNNNNNNNNNNNNNNNNNNNNNNNNNNNNNNNNNNNNNNNNNNNNNNNNNNNNNNNNNNNNNNNNNNNNNNNNNNNNNNNNNNNNNNNNNNNNNNNNCCAACUGUAACGAGGUGGAUGGCCCGACGAUUGUCCAAUUGUAACGAGGUGGAUGGCCCAAUGAUUGUCCAACUGUAACGAGGUGGAUGACUCGAUGUCUUGAAAAUGUCGUCUGCUUGAUGUUUUCAUCUGUUCCUGUACUAGGAAAUGAACGAUUAGUAGACACCAUAUCGUUUUCUCUAGCGACACAGUCAAGAAACUUUAAGGAAAGAUUCACAAGAGAAUGUGUACAAAGUGCUUGAUCACCUUGACACAAAUGAGCAACCAUCAUUUUGCUCUUGAACACUUUGUGUUCAUUGUGACUCAUGUCUUAUUGGGGAUUUGUACUAGGAGUUACUGGCUUGCUAUGACAAUGCUGGAGAUUUUCAAGUUGACUUUGAACUUCAAGCGAUGAUGGAUCAUUUGAAGUUGACUAUCAAGCUUCUGACAGUACUUGUUGGAAUUUUUUGAGGUCUUUCUUAAAAAUUCUGUCCCAGUUAAAACUUUUGGCAAAUCUCAAAAUGAUCUCCAAUAUUGAUUUGUUGGAGAUAGCACAUUUAUUGUGAAUUUUUGAGAUGUUCUAAAAAAUUCUGUCCAGUUUUUAUUACAAGGUGAAAAGAAAAUCACACUGGGUAUAUGACCGAGUCAUCGUGGCGCCUACAUAUCCUGUUGAGCCAGGAAUCAGGUCAAAUGUAGUUCCAAUCCUGUAAAUGAUGAAUACUGCAAAGAAUCUGAGAUAAGAUCGUCAGUAGAAAAUGUACAAUAUGAACAUGAUGAAAUAAGAAAAUAAUAUUCCCUGUGCUAUUCAGAGCUUAAAGACAAGAUAUAUCAAAAAUUUUGGACGGACAAUCCAAUGAAGUAAAAUAUGUGUCUCACACUGACAAGUUUAGCCUAAUGACACUUUUUGCAAUGAAUAACCCAAAAAGGAAAGACAAAGUCUUUUUUUUUUCUUUAAUGCAAAGAAUCUAAAAAAAAAAUUUGGAAAAAUGUUAAAGAGUGAAUGCUUGCUCACCCUUUUUUUUUUUUUGAAAUAUAAAUAAUAUAAAGAGACAAUCAAAUCUUGACUACAAUUGGUACCAGGAGUCAGGAUCGCAUAUAAAUCUCUUCUUUUUUCCUUUUUCUUUUUCUAAUUAAAACUGAAUUCAAGGUAACUCCUGCAGCUUCAAGUGGUACCUCAAACAUACUUAAGUAUCAACAAGAUUUGUUCAUCUUGCUUCAAACAAAGGUUUUGAAUUGUACCAUCCUCAUGUUUCAGUUGCCCUCACAAUAAGAAAAGUCCUAUUUCACACAUAUUUGAAGCAUAUUAUUUGAGGACAUUUUUCAAGGUGCACUCACACUCACAAAAAUGUUCAAUGCAUGCAACUGUGAUACCAUAUGUUUGGCCCUUAUGUAAAUCUCCACUAAUGUAAGGACAUUAGGAAUAAGAUCAUGUAGGACUUGUUAUUGGCUUGUAAUGUAGGCUUAGGGACGGGUAGAAUAUUUAUUUGGGAUAAGAGUGACUUAAUUCCUUCUUGAGCGUCACAGUGAAUUUGUGUUUUUGAUGAUUGAUACACCUUUGACGUCUGAUCCUCUUUAUUGUCCCUUUUUUUUUCUUUUUUUUUGACUUCUUUUGAAUUCUUAUUUGUUGGAACUUUUCCUUUUUUCACCCCUUUGUUUUGAAGUUUUCUCCUCUUUUAUUGGAGUUUUUUCCUCGUCGUCUUUCAUUGACCUUGUAGGGGUGUAUUUGUCUUUAUUUAUUUCUUUCCACCUUCCUUUUUUUUUCUUUUUUUUUUCUAGAAGUCAUUUUUUGUUUUCUUGACUUUGGGGGACUUUGUAUCUUUUGCCUUUGACAACUUCAAACAUGAAUCUUCUUUUAUAAUUUGCACAUCUUCGGCGCGCUCAAGAAGAUUGGGCCAAGCGAGGGAUAGUGCAUGUAAGCACUCAGAAGGGUAAUGACUAAGAUGUGGUUGUCCAAAGAAAGGCUUCAGACUCAAAGUGGAGAAAACUAGGGAUUAAUGUCAUUUGUUAGGCUUUGAAAGACACAAUCGGGUCAAAGAAGGCCUACAAUCCUUUCCCAUACCAAACAAUACUCAGGAUUUCACCUCGAAAAACAUUCAGGCCAAGUUUUAGAUCAACAGUGCAAUGCAAUUGAAUUUUGAUCUAAAAGCUCUCCACACCAUGCACAUGAGAAACCAUGAGGUUGGUUUUAUUCUUAUCUUGAAUGCCUGCAAGAGAAUUUUCAAGCAUCACAAAAGUACAAAUGAGAUGUACCAAAAGAAUCUAUGGUUUACCAAAGAGUCAGUCCUCUUCAUCAUAUCGAAUAUUUUACAUGCUCCUAACUGUAUUGGUCCCAAUUGAGCUAAAGACAUGAAUAUUUUAAUAUGUACAAAACAGUUUUUUUUAUUUUUUUUAAAAAUGAAUACCGAACCCAACAAGAGCUACCUACAUAUCUCAUCGAGAUGAGAAUCAGUUGUGCGUAGUUCAUGCAGAUAUGUCUUUGAAAAUAUGCACAAACUAUUUUACUUUUCAUUUCUUCAUUUUUUUAUUCCCUUAUUUUUUAGAUUUGAAAGAAUAAAUACCGAACCCAAGAAGGGCUGCCUACAUAUCUCACCGAGAUGAGAAUCAGGUUCACGUAGUUCGUGCAGAUAAAGCUUUGAAAAAUAUGCACAAACUAUUUUACUUUUUAUUCUUUUGAAAUUUGAAAAAAUGAAUACCAAAUCCAAGAAGGGUUGCCUACGUAUCUCAUCGAGAUGAGAAUCAAGUUCGCAUAGUUCGUUCAGUUAUUGCAUAAAAUAAUUUCAAAAUUUAGACAAACUCAGAGCGAUUCACUGUAUCCUCUUAACUGUCGAUCUUUGUACUGUCUGUUGAAUGUGGUCUCUCAUUUUUUUACAGUAACCACUUGUUGUAUUCUUUUUUUUUAAAUGUCUAUUGAAACUGUGUCUUCUCCCAAUUAUCCACGAGAACCAGACAUCAUUAUGACCAUCCCCAAUUGUCGUCAGGGAUGAUUUUCCUGCAAAAAUAUAAGAAAUGUGUGAAAGCAGGGCCAACAUGCAAAACAAUAAAAAAUAAAUGAGUGUAACCUUACCGUCAAAGACUCCCCUGAUUUAUAUUUUUGACUUGAUACUAAUGUCUUAUGAAAUACAAAGACUCAGAUUUCGCGAGUCCUCUUGUCCCUUGCAAUUUCGGAUGAACAAUGACUUCCAAAUAAAUCAACCUCUAGCAAAAAGAAAGAAAAACUCAAAAGGUAAAUGUGUUAAUUCGUAUUCAUAAUGGAUAAUGCAAAAUAUCACACAAAGAAUUAAUUAAACACAUAAACAAUAUUUUGAUUGAAGACAAACUAAACUAUAUCACAUAUCAUACAAACAAUUAUUGCGCGUCCUAUACAAAUAUGUGACCCUUUUAUGCCAUGGGUAGGCCUAUCGAUUUGAAGGAUGUAUUACGCCAUUUGACAACAUUCCAUUGUCCCCCAAACACUUAGUACAAAUUUUAUAAAUAAUUCAAAUAGGAUUACAAAAUAAGGAAAAAAAGAAAAAAAACAAAUAAUCAAUCUCACGCAGUGGUACAAUCCUAAACUAAGACUUUUAGAAGGUCUUUACUUCUUGAAUCACUUGUCAUCUCCGAAUGCCAACAACUUUUGGAUGAAAUGUUAGCUUGUAAAGUUCAUUCUUCGACUGGAGUAAGCUACUAAAUUAAACUCCCAACCUCGAGUGACAAUGAAUUGCCAAAUGACGUAUACAUCUUUCAAAUUUGAACACACAUUAUGAUCGUUCAUUUAGGCCGGAGGCCAUUUUAGACUUAAGGUGGGCUUCUAAUGUGCCCAACACGCCUUGGGUGUUGGGUCGACUUAGUUCAAAAUGCGCUAAAUUCGAGAUUUGGUUUCGCUCUACGCUAGUUGACCAAAAGUGGUUUUUGAAAGACCGGGAACCCAAGUGGACAACUUAGGUUGGAACUCACGACAACCAUUGGACGCAUGACCUACCAAUAAAUUGUCGAUCAUUCCGAAAAAGGGUCGAGUAUAAAAAGUCCGGCUGCGAUUAUGCAAAAACCGUCCUUAAUAUACUAUACAUACAAGUUGGAAAAUGCCAUGAAUGCAAUGACAAUAUACAUACAAUUAAACAAAUAAUGAAUAAACCACAAGUACAAUCUACAAGCAAUCAACAAAAUAUACAACACGCAAGAUAUAACACGAUAAAAGAAAGACCUCCUCAAUUUGAAAGAAUGAAUUCAUAAUGGUUAGAACCUCUAUAUCCUCAGCGGAGUCGCCAUUCUGUUUACAUCCCUACUUUAUUACAAUAGGAAGAAACGUGUGACGACUCAAAAAAUAAUCAAUUAAGUCGAUUUUAAAAGAAUUUUAAGAAUAAACGAAUUUUAAAGGAGUCGCCACCUUAUUUUAGGAAAACUAGGAAACCAAUUAAAUGAUCUAUGAAAUCAUUAGAUUCUAGGUAAGGGGUUCAAGUUAUUCCGAAAGGAAGAUGUUAGGCAUCUUUCGAAAUCAAUAAAUGUGGGUCCCGACUAAAUUCACUUUUUCAAAUUGAGGAGGAAAUAAAAAUAAAUAUACAAGUAUAAUAACUAGUAAUAUACACAAAUAAUAAAAUAAAACAAUAAUAAAUAAAAGUUAUAAUUCGAACUCCGUUUCAAAUAGCUUAAAUGGAAAACAACUCUGUGUACCUAUAAAGACACUUAGUAAAAGUGUUAGUACUAAAUAAAUAUGAAUAAAAAUGAAUAACUCAAAUAAUAACUUAAAAAUAAAACCCGUCUUAUUAACAUGGAAGGCCUUGAAAAUCGACGGUAAUUUCUUCAUCGGUCAAAUUUAACAAACAAAAAAUAUAUAAACUUAAACUAAAAUUCCGUCUUUAAUAUUGGGAAGGCCUCAAAAAUCGACGGAGAGAUUUUUUCAUUGGCCAAUUUUAAUAGAAUUUCGACAUAAAAUAAAAUGAAACUAACUAUAUGACACUAUAAGAUAAAAUACAACCAUCCAAACUAUAAGAACCUAACAAAAUAAUAAUAAUAAUAAUAAUAAUAAUAACAAUAACAACAGCAACAACCACCAAACUGCUUUAUCAUUCAACACUCCCAUUAACUUUACCUUUCUUAAUGAAUUCUGCAUUGUCAGAUUCAACAAUUCUUGAAUUUUAUUGAUUUGGACUGUAAAAUCUUAUAUCUUUUAGAUUUCUUUGGAUAAUUAAUUAGGUAACAAUUUAUUGUUCGAGAAUCUAUUUUUUUUAUGUGAAUUAUCAUUUUAAAUUCCAUUGAGCAACCCCAUGCAAGUGUCUUAAAUUAGAUUUUCUCUCAAGCAAUAGUAUAAAACGAGUCUUUGAAAUUGCCUUACUAGAAUCUCAUUUAAUAAAUAUAUGGAAAAAGGACGGAUUUACCCCCGAACUUUAAUAAAUGGUACGUCUAUACCCUCCGUUAUACUUUGCGUCCACAUAAGCCCUUGCCGUCCAAUUAUAGGUACACACAUGCCCUUCUCACUAACGGAUCCCUCAUUUUUUACACGUGUCUUAAUCCUAAUGAACUACCCGUUUGACCUUUUUUUUAACCCAUAAACCAACUAUCCGCCCCAUAACCCAAUAUCCACCUAAUUUCCUCUAAGAUAUAUCCUAAUUAAAAGACCCAAAUCUAAAGUCCUGUUCCUAUCACCCAAUAUCAGGCUUAAUCAUAUCACUCAACAUAUCAUCAUACACACAUUUCAUAUCAUCAAUCAUAACAAACCUUGAUAAGCACAUCAACAACUUGUUAUAACCCCAAACAUCAACUUUAAACCUGCACCUCAUCUCCCGAACAAAAUCCAUCACGAAAACAGCAUCGUCCCGAGUUUCGCCAGAUUUAAUCAUGGAAAGUCGGGUUCUUUCAGCAACCCGGAAGAGGUUAUUGGAAAUCAAAAUGCGUAAAAAGGGUGCGUAAGAUUGAGGAUUGGGUUUGAAUAAAAGGGUAUUUCGGGUAGAUAAAUAAUAGAAGAAGGAGAUUACAAUGUGGGGGUUGAGAUUUGGGUUUUGCAAAAGGAAAUAAGAGAAAUGAGAAGGGGAUAAAGAAGGAAUGAGGGUGUUGAGAGAAGGGUGUUUUCGCCAAUUUGGAUUCGAAAGGACGAAGAGGAGGUGUUGGUUAAUAGAGGAAGAAGAAGAAGAAGUGAUGGAUUUGAUGAAGAAGAGGGAACUUGAGUGAGCUGAACGCAACGCGGUUGAUAGUUGCAUCAUUGUAUGAUCGGGAAAUUCAGCGGCAGAGAUGAAGAAAAGUCCAUGUAACAGUAAGAAAGAGAGGAGAAAAUUUAGUUAAGUGUUACAGAUCCAUUGGAGCUGAGAAAUGGAGCUCUAUUGGUUGAGUUGAAGAAGACGAUAGUAGGUGUUUUUUUUAAAAAAAAAAUUUGUGUAUUAUUUUGUGUGUUAGGAACGGGACCUUUAGAUUUAGGUCUUUUAAUUAGGAUAUAUCUUAGAGGAAAUUGGGUUAUGGGGCGGAUAGUUGGUUUAUGGGUUAAAAAAAGGUCAAACGGGUAGUUCAUUAGGAUUAAGACACGUGUAAAAAAUGAGGGAUCCGUUAGUGAGAGGGGCAUGUGUGUACCUAUAAUUGGACGGCAGGGGCUUAUGUGGAUGCAAAGUAUAACGGAGGGUAUAGACGUACCAUUUAUUAAAGUUCGGGGGUAAAUCCGUCCUUUUUCCCUUUAAUUAAUAAAGUUAUCUAAACACUUGUAUAUAUCACUUCAUAAUAAAUAAAAUAAAGAGCUAUAAGCUAAUCACUUAAUAUAAUAAUAUGAUCCACAAAUAAAACAAAUUAAUAAUGAAUAGGUAAAACAGUAGACCAAAAACUAAAACAAAAAUAAUAGAAAACCUUGGUGGAAAUUCAAAGCAGUGAUUAUAACAAAGGUAAACUAAUAUCUAACUUAAUGAGUUAUUUGAAUUAAAAUGAUUACCUAUACAUUGAUAAGGAAAAGAAGGGAGAAAUAUAUAUUGAAGCUCCGAUUUAUAGAGAUCUGAUAGCGAUGAAGGAUGGUGUGCGUUUCUCCGAUGCAGCAAGGUCAUAUUUUGUUCGUCGGAGCUUUAAAGCUCAUUGGGACAACAACGUUCCACCUGCAAAACAAGAGAAAAAUAAUAAUAAUCGUAAAAGAGGAAAGAGGAUGGGGACAGAGCACCAUUUUAUUGGCUCCGGUUCAUCGGAGUUUGAAACUCCUCGCCGGAGCUACUGUCCGUUCGCGGUGCCGCUGGCGUGAGCUCGAAGCUCGUUGCUCCGAUGGUUCUAGAUGGGUUUGUUGUUGUUAUCGGAUAAAAACGAAAAAGGGGUGUGGUUGAGUUGGGGUUUUGUGGGUUGGUUUGGAGGCUGUUUGGCAGUUGUUUUAGCUGGAGAAGGAGAAAGGGGUCAUUUCCAAUGACUAUUUCACCAGAAAAAGAAGAAAACGAAGAGGGUUUUGGGGGUUGUUGGUGAUGAGAAGAACGGGUGAGGGUUGUUGUUUCCGGUUGUUGUUGUUUGCCGGAUAAAAUGGGUUGUUGGGUGGCAGCUGUUUUUUUUUUGUGCCAAAAAGCAGGAGGAGAAACUUUUAGGGUUUUUCUAUUUUGGAAAGUUUUCAUCCCCUUUUCAAAAAUAAUUCACCACACCAUUAUUUUUUAACCUAACUAAAACUUAUAUAGGAAAUAAUUGUUAAAUGGGCUCAAUUGUGGGCUUGGGAUUGUGGCCUAAAAUUAUCGAUCAAGUAAAAUAUCUGUAUUUGAAUGAAUUUCUAGACUGUGCAAAAUAUUAAAAUAAAUAUUAACAAAUGUAACAAUAAAAUGAAUAUAAAAAAAAUGAACGUAACUAAUGACAUGUAAAAAUGCAAUUUUAAGAUUAAUUGAUAAAAGAAAAAUCCUAAAUUUUGAUAAAUAAGGAUAGUUAUCGAUAAACUUAUUUAAAUUUAUAAAAAAAUUAUUUUCAACUAUUAAAUAAGUAAAACUUAAAAUUUGCGAAUUUUUGAAAAUGUUUGGCCAAAAUUGGGUGUCAAUAGGUUCUCAAAAAGUCCGUAGAGGCUUUCUCCCAAUGGGGAGAUGGAGUGCUAAGGUACCAAGGUCGGUUAUGUGUUCCGGAUGUUGAUGGUUUGAGGGAUCAAAUUUUAGAGAAAUCUCAUAGUUCUCGGUAUUUUAUUCAUCCGGGAUCCACCAAGAUGUAUCGUGAUCUACGAGAAGUCUAUUGGUGGAACUUUAUGAAGAAAGAUAUUGCAUGAUUUGUAGCCAAAUGUCCUAAUUGUCAACAAGUUAAAGUUGAGCAUCAAAGGCCAGGAGUCUUGUCCCAAGAUACAAGUAUUCCCACUUGGAAGUGGGAAGAGAUAAAUAUGGACUUUAUUAUGGGUUUGCCUCGCACCCGAAGGCAACAUGAUUCUAUUUGGGUCAUUAUAGACCGGAUGACAAAAUCAUCCCACUUUAUUCCCGUCAAGGUUUAUUUUUCGGCGGAAGACUAUGCCAAGUUGUAUAUAAGAGAAGUAGUGAAAUUGAAUGGAGUUCCUCUAUCUAUCAUUUCCGAUCGGGGUACUCAAUUUACAUCUCACUAUUGGAAGUCGUUCCAAAAGGUUUUGGCACUAAGGUGAAGCUUAGCACCGCUUUCCACCCUCAAACAGAUGGUCAAGCGGAACACACCAUUCAAACCUUAGAGGAAAUUUUGAGGGCAUGUGUAAUAGACUUAAAGGGUAAUUGGGGUGUCACUUGCCAUUAAUAGAGUUUGCCUACAAUAAUAGCUAUCACUCAAGUAUCGGUAUGGCUCCUUUUGAAGCUUUGUAUGGUAGAAUAUGUAGGUUUCCGGUUGGUUGGUUUGAGGUAGGUGAAAUUGCUUUGAUAGGUCCCAAUCUAGUUUAUGAAGUCAUUGAGAAAGUUCGGCUUAUUAAAGGGAUGUUGAGAACGGCUCAAAGUAGACAAAAGUCUUAUGCCGAUGUGAGAAGAAGGGAUCUAGAAUUUGAAGUUAAUGAUUGGGUCUAUUUGAAAAUCUCACCCAUGAAGGUUGUGAUGAGAUUUGGCAAGAAAGAAAAACUUAGUUCCCGGUAUGUUGGCCCAUAUCAAAUUUUGAAACGAGUUGGUAAAGUUGCCUAUGAGUUGGAUUUGCCAAAUGAGUUGGCCCUGGCUCAUCCGAUAUUUCAUGUUUCUAUGUGUAAGAAGUGUAUUAAAGAUCUGGUAUCCAUUCUUUCCCUAGAAGGGUUAGGAGUUGAUGAAAGUCUUUCAUAUGAAGAAGUUCCGGUAGAGACCCUAGACCGGCAAGUCAAGAGAUUGAGAAAUAAGGAAGUAGAUUCCGUGAAGGUUUUAUGGAAAAAUCAAUUAGUUGAGGGUGCUACUUGGGAGGCAGAGGCCGAUAUGAAGUCCCGAUUUCCUCAUCUCUUUCCUUCUACUCCUAUUCAAGCUUGAGGUAAAUAGUUUCUUUUGAGUUUUAGUGUUUUGGGAGUCAUGUGUGCUAUAUGUGUUUUCCAUGAUUUCCUCAUGUUAUGCAUGUUCUUGAGAAAUACAUGUUUAGUAAGAACAUGAGUUUUCAUGAUUUAUAUUCCUCAUGUUGUUGUGCAUUUAAUAUGAGUUGCCUAUUUGACUUCAUGAGAUGAGUUGAUGAACAUGCUUUAGUAUGCUUUUGAGAGUAAUUGCAUAUUGUCUCCGUGAUGUUGUGUUGAACAUGCUUUUAGAUGGAGAAGGUAGUUCCCCCUAUGUAUAUAAGAAAUAUUGAGUUUUCAUGCAUAAUGGGUUGUUAGAUGUAGUUCCUACUUCCUUAUGUUGCAUUGAUUAUGUUGAGAUGGAGUUGAUGUUUCCUCCUUUGAAUUGUGCAUUAUUUUGAUGUUUCAUACAUGAUGGGCUGCUAGUCUGUCUUUACCUCCGUAAGGUGUUUAGAUUGUCAUUCGAGGACGAAUGUACCCAAGGGGGAGAUAUUGUAACACCCCAAAAAUUAGUAGGCUAGACUAGAGCUAAACAUUAAGGUUAGAGUCAAGGAAGGAGGGCAAGAACCAAGGCAAAAGGCCAAUGGCCAAGGCUGCCCAAUCCUUGCCAAGGCGCUGCCUCAAGACCACGAGGUCCUUCAUGACCAAUGGUGGUCACCACGAGUGGUGAUGCCACUCGUGGAGGUGGAGACAGUUGCCUCCUUAAAGCUGCCUCAAAUCGGCUUCUCCACACGAGACACUUCACGGCUCGCGAAGCCUUAGACAACUCGUGGGAGUGGCCUUGAACAAGCCUUAGUGGUUGAGGGUUGAUGGAGGGUGGCUUAGCCACUGCCUCAAGUCCCACGAGAGGGACCACAACUCAUGGAGCCCCUUGUGAAGAUGCCUUGGGCUUGUGAGCUAAAGGCACUUGUUGCCUAGCCACUGCCUCAAGUCCACGAAGGGGACCACGACUCGUGGUGAUGUCCACCGCUCGUGGGGUCCCACAUGGUCCCUGGCAGCUCACUUAAAGUGAGGGGUGUUUUUGGGUAAUUCCGGUUUGAGUCUUAUUAAAGUGAAGUCAUUUUGCCUUUGUUUUAUACACAUAUAUAAGUCAUUUUAAGUCAAAAUAUACCCAUUCACCCCAUUAUUUCCAAAACCCCCAAAUCAAAUCCCAACAGUUCAUCUUCUUUUCAAAAUUUCUCUCUCUAGAACUCUAAGGAAGAAGAAGAGGAAAGUUGAAGCUAGGGUUUGAAGGAGCAAGGUUUUCCACUCGAUUUCUUUGGAAAUUCAUAGCUAAGGUGUGGUAGUCCUUCAUCCAUGGAGUCCCUUCAAACUCCAAAUUUCAAAGUUAGAAAUCCCUAAGAGCUAGGGUUUUACUCCAAAUUCAUGGGUUCCUUUCUAAAAAGAUUUUUAUACCUUAAUUAUGAUAUAUUAUGAAUGAAUUGAUGAGUAUUGAUGUUUUUAAGAUGAAUUCCCCAAGAACCCAUGAAACCCCCAUAGUUCCCACUUAUGAUUUUGUGAUAUGGGUUUGUUGAUGAAAGAAGAGUAUUAGUAGAUUGUGUAUGAAAUGAAUUGAUUUCUUGAAUUAUGAUUAUAUAUAUGUCUAAUGUAGUGAAUUCUAGAUAUGUUGAUAGAAUGUGAUCCUUGAUCCUUGAAGGGUAAAGUAUGAGAAUUAUGCAUGAUUAUGAGAUUUAUAUAUAUGCUUUAAGAACAUUUUGAGAGGCAAGUGAUUAUGAUUAUGAUCUAGUUGUUGUGUUGUUGAAAGGCUAUUCUCAUAUACACACCUAUGUAUGAAUAUGAUAUGAUGUGAAAGGUUUUCUCACAAUAUGAUGAUUCCAAGGUUGAAAGGCUAUUCUCACCUAUUGAAUCUAUGAGUUAUCUUAUGAAUUAUGUUGGAUUGAGUGUCAAGGCAUUCUUCCAUGAAUAUGAACUUAAGUCAAGACUUAAUAUGUACUCUGUGGGAUAAAUUCUUAGCACCGAAUGAAUAUUGAAUAUGAGAUCGAAGCUCUUCCGUAAGAAAGGCCGGGUUUCUAGAAAGAAUCUCUUGAGAUGGAAGCUCUCCCGUCAGAAAGGGCGAGUUUCUAGUAGCAAUCUCCUUAUCCCAUAAACUAUGUGCCCCAUAGGUUAUUUAGCUAGUGGAUCCACCUAAGCUAAGAGUAUGGUUCUACCUUAGUCAAGUAGGACAACCCUUUUUGGUGUGGGUAAAACUGGAUUCCAUGAUAAGCUCACGUGGUCUAUGUCGGUUAAGGCUUAUUCCCACUAUGAACAAGAUAUGAAUUAUGAACUAUGGUUACUCAAGAAGCUUUACUUAGGCAUGGGUAGGAUUAUGAGAUCUUAUUCAUGCAUUGCACAAGUAUGCUUUGAGGGUAUUUAUGGUAUGUUUCUAUUAUGCUAUGAUGAUCUAUGUAGUGAAUAUGCUUAUGACUUAUUCUUUUCCAUUACCUUCAAAAUGAUGCUUUAACUUAGUAAAUUGCACGCAUUCAACUAAAAUGUCCCUUUUGCAUGUUUUCAAGGUUUUUAUACAUGACUAUCAUACUUAGUGCAUUUUUGUACUAAUCCAUAUUUCUCCUACAUUUUUUCCCAAGUGUAGGGUCCGGUUCUCAAGGUGGUCCUCAUUGUGGCUAGAGCUUGGAAUUGAUCAUUUCUCCUUGCUUGUUGGUGAGUCCUCAUGAUUCGAGGACGGAUGUUAUCUUAGUAGUUUCAUUCAUGUAUUUUCUUUUCGGAUUAUGUAGUAUGGGUUGUGUCCCUAUUUUUGAUACAAGUAUUGUAAUAGAUGGCUAUUUGAGACAAGUCUAGACUUCCACUUUUCUUUAUGAAAAUUUUGGACUUGAA